GAUCAUGGCUCAGGACGAACGCUGGCGGCACGCUUAACACAUGCAAGUCGAACGAGAGAAGAGAAGCUUGCUUUUCUGAUCUAGUGGCGGACGGGUGAGUAACACGUGAGCAAUCUGCCUUUCAGAGGGGGGAUACCGAUUGGAAACGAUCGUUAAUACCGCAUAAUAUAAUUGAACCGCAUGAUUUUGAUUUAAUCAAAGAUUUUAUCGCUGAAAGAUGAGCUCGNGU
Molecule: ribosomal RNA, 229 nt
Filed under: uncultured bacterium
Lineage: Bacteria
Description: partial 16S ribosomal RNA
Rfam family: Bacterial small subunit ribosomal RNA
Source: RNAcentral